This 225-nucleotide unclassified non-coding RNA is filed under the name plant metagenome. Its description in RNAcentral is "partial contains small subunit ribosomal RNA, internal transcribed spacer 1, and 5.8S ribosomal RNA". The record is from RNAcentral.
UUUCCGUAGGUGAACCUGCGGAAGGAUCAUUAGUGAAUUGAAUAUGUUAGCGGACCUCUUCGGAGUCCCUAGCAUCAAAUCAUAUCCAUAACACCUGUGAACCGUAGGGCUGUCUUGAAAACGAAAGUGAUUAGAGCGCCUGCCCAUUUUAUACAAACAUUAAAGUAACAAACGUAUUCUUAUUAUAAUCUAAUAAAACUUUCAACAACGGAUCUCUUGGCUCUC